GGGCGAUGGCCUGAACCGCCAAGUAGCGUGAAGGAUGACUGCCCUAUGGGUUGUAAACUUCUUUUAUAAAGGAAUAAAGUCGGGUAUGCAUACCCGUUUGCAUGUACUUUAUGAAUAAGGAUCGGCUAACUCCGUGCCAGCAGCCGCGGUAAUACGGAGGAUCCGAGCGUUAUCCGGAUUUAUCGGGUUUAAAGGGAGCGUAGAUGGAUGUUUAAGUCAGUUGUGAAAGUUUGCGGCUCAACCGUAAAAUUGCAGUUGAUACUGGAUGUCUUGAGUGCAGUUGAGGCAGGCGGAAUUCGUGGUGUAGCGGUGAAAUGCUUAGAUAUCACGAAGAACUCC
Molecule: ribosomal RNA, 339 nt
Filed under: uncultured bacterium
Lineage: Bacteria
Description: bacterial SSU rRNA
Rfam family: Bacterial small subunit ribosomal RNA
Source: RNAcentral